This 1378-nucleotide unclassified non-coding RNA is filed under the name Hevea brasiliensis (rubber tree). The record is from RNAcentral. Lineage: Eukaryota; Viridiplantae; Streptophyta; Magnoliopsida; Malpighiales; Euphorbiaceae.
GAUAUCUCGAGAUCCUUAUCCUUGGAAGUGAUCUUAGUACCGAUGAUAUAUUUGGGUGAGUAACUUCCUUCUUUGAAAGAUCCGUUACUCGAUUACCCGUUACUCGAUUACCCAUUACUCAGCCUUUAUUAUUAUUUUAGUUAUUAUAAUAUCAAUGCUUACCUCUUGUAGAACUUAUUCAAUUACUCUUACCUCAUAGAUCGAGUUGCUAGACUUGACUCUAUGUGCGCUUCCUAGGAUGUUCUGACAUUAAACCGACUCAAGGCCCGACUUGCUUGAACCUUGAUCGCUAACUCUGAUCAAGUGGUGAGACGACAAUCAUAUCAAUUAUAUAUCUUAGACUCCCUAAAAACAUGUAAAGUACCUUUAAUAUAAUCAUCUAAGUCCUUUUGGAUCAUAAAAAUAGGUUUUGGAGCCUUAAAUAAGAGGGAAAAUAACCUUGGCAUAACUGACUUCUACUGCCGAAGUCAUGAACCUCAAGUGUUGUUUUCAUGUAAUAGCUAGUGUGAUUGCCAAAGUCCUGAACUCCAAAACUCUUUGAGGUAUAGAAGUUACUCUAGCAGUUGAACUUGGAAAUUUCCAAUUCUAAUUUUGUAGCAAUUUCAACUCCAAAACCACUCAAAAAACCUCUCAGAGCCCCAUAAAUACUAUCCAACCAUAAAGACACACUUCUAAGACAUGCAUUAACUUGGAAACAUACUUGGAUGCUUCAUGCAUCCAUCAAACAUCAAAGAAUCAAAUUUUCCUUCAAACUUGAUUUAAAGCAACAAAAGGUAGCCUACAUAAAAUUGAACUUUAACCUUAAUUUCUUCAAAAUCUAACCUAAUCAUGCUUAUAAACUACCUAAACAUGUUAAGAAUUCACAAUAAGACAUUUUAUUGCAACAUCAUCAAAAACCUCAUACAUGCAACAACUCUCUCAAACUAUAAAGGUUUAAAAAUCAACUCAAAUUGUUAUAUGCAUUUAAAACAACUUAUCAUAUACCAUGAAAGCCUUCUUGAAAAUAAUUUUGAUGCUUAAAAAAGAAAAGAAAGAUAAAGUACCUUUCUCCCUUGAAUUAGGAGUGAAGGGAUUUAACAAAAAUCUAAGAAUUUCCUUAGCUCGUGGUGUUAGAAUCUCCUCCAAGAUCUUCUAGCACCCAAGACAAGCAAAUUGCCCAAAGAAAUUCAAACUAAACCCUCUACAUGUAACAGUAGCUUAAGGAGAGAGAGAAAAAUCAUUUUUCUUUGAAAUUUAGACUGAAAUGGGCUAUUUAUAUCCCUACUAUCAAGGGGACGUGCUGAAGGCUGCCAGAGUCCAUUCUGUCCAAAAGGACAUUCGAACAAUAAAAAGGGACUUUAGUUGUCGAAAGUCCAACCUUUGAUUGCCCAAGUUCUUU